AUGCAGUCGAGCGGAUGACGGGAGCUUGCUCCCUGAUUUAGCGGCGGACGGGUGAGUAAUGCCUAGGAAUCUGCCUGGUAGUGGGGGAUAACGUCCGGAAACGGGCGCUAAUACCGCGUACGUCCUACGGGAGAAAGCAGGGGACCUUCGGGCCUUGCGCUAUCAGAUGAGCCUAGGUCGGAUUAGCUAGUUGGUGAGGUAAUGGCUCACCAAGGCUACGAUCCGUAACUGGUCUGAGAGGAUGAUCAGUCACACUGGAACUGAGACACGGUCCAGACUCCUACGGGAGGCAGCAGUGGGGAAUAUUGGACAAUGGGCGAAAGCCUGAUCCAGCCAUGCCGCGUGUGUGAAGAAGGUCUUCGGAUUGUAAAGCACUUUAAGUUGGGAGGAAGGGCUGUAGGCUAAUAUCCUGCAGUUUUGACGUUACCGACAGAAUAAGCACCGGCUAACUUCGUGCCAGCAGCCGCGGUAAUACGAAGGGUGCAAGCGUUAAUCGGAAUUACUGGGCGUAAAGCGCGCGUAGGUGGUUCGUUAAGUUGGAUGUGAAAGCCCCGGGCUCAACCUGGGAACUGCAUCCAAAACUGGCGAGCUAGAGUACGGUAGAGGGUAGUGGAAUUUCCUGUGUAGCGGUGAAAUGCGUAGAUAUAGGAAGGAACACCAGUGGCGAAGGCGACUACCUGGACUGAUACUGACACUGAGGUGCGAAAGCGUGGGGGAGCAAACAGGAUUAGAUACGCUGGUAGUCCACGCCGUGAACGAUGUCAACUAGCCGUUGGAAUCCUUG
This 784-nucleotide ribosomal RNA is filed under the name Ectopseudomonas khazarica. Its description in RNAcentral is "bacterial SSU rRNA". It matches the Rfam family "Bacterial small subunit ribosomal RNA", at positions 55 to 834 of the family's 1533-position model. The record is from RNAcentral. Lineage: Bacteria; Pseudomonadati; Pseudomonadota; Gammaproteobacteria; Pseudomonadales; Pseudomonadaceae.